ACGGUCGGGGGCAUCAGUAUUCAAUUGUCAGAGGUGAAAUUCUUGGAUUUAUUGAAGACUAACUACUGCGAAAGCAUUUGCCAAGGACGUUUUCAUUAAUCAAGAACGAAAGUUAGGGGAUCGAAGAUGAUCAGAUACCGUCGUAGUCUUAACCAUAAACUAUGCCGACUAGGGAUCGGGUGUUGUUCUUUUUUUUGACUCACUCGGCACCUUACGAGAAAUCAAAGUUUUUGGGUUCUGGGGGGAGUAUGGUCGCAAGGCUGAAACUUAAAGGAAUUGACGGAAGGGCACCACCAGGAGUGGAGCCUGCGGCUUAAUUUGACUCAACACGGGGAAACUCACCAGGUCCAGACACAAUAAGGAUUGACAGAUUGAGAGCUCUUUCUUGAUUUUGUGGGUGGUGGUGCAUGGCCGUUCUUAGUUGGUGGAGUGAUUUGUCUGCUUAAUUGCGAUAACGAACGAGACCUUAACCUACUAAAUAGUACUGUUAGCUUUUUGCUGAUAUAGUUACUUCUUAGAGGGACUAUCGAUUUCAAGUCGAUGGAAGUUUGAGGCAAUAACAGGUCUGUGAUGCCCUUAGACGUUCUGGGCCGCACGCGCGCUACACUGACGGAGCCAACGAGUACUAUCCUUUGCCGAGAGGUAUGGGUAAUCUUGUGAAACUCCGUCGUGCUGGGGAUAGAGCAUUGCAAUUAUUGCUCUUCAACGAGGAAUUCCUAGUAAGCGUAAGUCAUCAGCUUGCGUUGAUUACGUCCCUGCCCUUUGUACACACCGCCCGUCGCUAGUACCGAUUGAAUGGCUUAGUGAGGCCUCAGGAUUGGUUUAAAGGAGGAGGCGACUCCACCUUGGAACUGAGAAUCUGGUCAAACUUGGUCAUUUAGAGGAACUAAAAGUCGUAACAAGGUUUCCGUAGGUGAACCUGCGGAAGGAUCA
Molecule: ribosomal RNA, 933 nt
Filed under: Streptomyces anthocyanicus
Lineage: Bacteria; Bacillati; Actinomycetota; Actinomycetes; Kitasatosporales; Streptomycetaceae
Description: SSU rRNA
Rfam family: Eukaryotic small subunit ribosomal RNA
Source: RNAcentral